Molecule: ribosomal RNA, 386 nt
Filed under: Clostridioides difficile
Lineage: Bacteria; Bacillati; Bacillota; Clostridia; Peptostreptococcales; Peptostreptococcaceae
Description: partial 23S ribosomal RNA
Rfam family: Bacterial large subunit ribosomal RNA
Source: RNAcentral
UCUCUCAGUACGGUCGGAAAUCGUACGUAGAGUGUAAAGGCAAAAGAGAGCUUGAUUGCAAGACAUACAGGUCGAGCAAGGAUGAAAAUCGGACUUAGUGAUCCGGUGGUUCUGCGUGGAAGGGCCAUCGCUCAACGGAUAAAAGCUACCCUGGGGAUAACAGGCUUAUCUCCCCCAAGAGUCCACAUCGACGGGGAGGUUUGGCACCUCGAUGUCGGCUCAUCACAUCCUGGGGCUGUAGUAGGUCCCAAGGGUUGGGCUGUUCGCCCAUUAAAGUGGUACGCGAGCUGGGUUCAGAACGUCGUGAGACAGUUCGGUCCCUAUCCGUCGCAGGCGUAGGAAAUUUGAGAAGACCUGUCCUUAGUACGAGAGGACCGGGAUGGACG